This is a long non-coding RNA of Glycine soja, 768 nucleotides long. RefSeq lists it as uncharacterized. The transcript has 3 exons. The record is from RefSeq and is a predicted model, not a curated record. NCBI's taxonomy places the organism in Eukaryota, Viridiplantae, Streptophyta, Magnoliopsida, Fabales, Fabaceae.
UGAUAGACACAGAAAAUAGAGCAUCUGCCUAGAAACUGGACAGUGCUUGAAGAGGAAAAGCCUAGGGACUGCUAACAACAUCCUGCAAGGCUAUAGUAUGUUUAUCUAUUGGUGAAAUUGUUCCACUACAUACCGCCAGGACUCUUGGUGAUAACAAGAAAGAGAAGGUUUUUAUUAGCAGGAGAGUUUGCAGAACUGAGGAUAAUAACUUAGUGGAUGAUCUCUUAUGCACCACUGGCUGCCAGCUCUGUGGUUCCCCCUUAGAUUCAAAAUUUGAGCAAAAUGCUGUUCCACUGAUCUGUUGGAAAACUUCAAGCCGCCUUCACUCUAUAUGCUGGAUAUAUAGGCCCUUCUUGCUAUACGUCUGGGAUGAAUCAGAUUACAUGCCAAUUCUUGUUAAGAACAGGGCCGAAGAAAUCUUGUUUGGAAACAUCAAGACUGGAAAAGUAUAUUCAGCUUAUAAAGAACAAACGCAGAACCAAAAUCUUGGUCCUAGUAAUGAAUGCAAGGAUAAAGAUGCCAGUGAAAGACUUGCUAUUAAUCCAAGACCUUCUGGGGAAGGACUUCCGAGUGCCAAUACAUUAGAUGUUGGUAAGAGCUUGCAAUUGCAGGAAAAACAUCUUCCUGAUAAGUUCAACUUUUACUGUGUAUGAUUAAUUCUUCUGAAAAUGUUGCUGAAACAAGGAAAGAACGGCCCUCUGAAAUUUGAGAUCAUUGUUGGUCCCAGCUUAGAUAUUGAAAAUGGAAAUUUUGAACGGGUUUCUGCAA